CUCAUAUUUAUGAGUCUGUUGAUGAAACGAUUAACAAAGACAUAAUUACAGGCAGUGUAAGUGGACCUGCUGAACACAUCUAUGCUGAGAUUGAGCUCAAAUCUACAAGUCUUUUAGGGAAUACCAGUGAAAGUUCUGACACUGUUUAUUCUAAACUGACCCUGGUGACCCAUCAAGCUGCUGGAUCUAAUGAUGUGACGUAUGCUCAGGUUAAAUAAAUGCCCGGAGG
Long non-coding RNA from Sinocyclocheilus anshuiensis, 229 nucleotides. RefSeq lists it as uncharacterized. The transcript has 3 exons. The record is from RefSeq and is a predicted model, not a curated record. Lineage: Eukaryota; Metazoa; Chordata; Actinopteri; Cypriniformes; Cyprinidae.